Long non-coding RNA from Hemicordylus capensis (graceful crag lizard), 2232 nucleotides. RefSeq lists it as uncharacterized. Lineage: Eukaryota; Metazoa; Chordata; Lepidosauria; Squamata; Cordylidae. The transcript is spliced from 3 exons. The record is from RefSeq and is a predicted model, not a curated record.
UUGAACAGUCCUGCUACACUUUCAGGGAAUUCCAGGAUUCCCAAGAACACAGUUUAAGACUACUGUUAUACAGUGGCUAACAUUCAGACUAAUGAAAUGUGGGUGCUAGGUGAGAAACACUGGUGUUGCUGAAAGUUUUGACUAAUGAAGCAUUGGCAAUUGUGUGUGUGUGUGUGUGGGGGGGAGAUUUCAACCCCCCCUUCCCCUGGAAGAACCCUGUGCCACUCAAAAUAUAUAUUGCUGAGGGUCACACAGCCCUCAGGGACAUAUUUUUGGGUGGCAUAGACACUUCCAGGAGAAGAAGAUUGUCAAAGUUCACACUCACACCCCCGGUGCGAGCACCGGUACUGCUUUAGUUGGGAAUUCAGCAGCAGUACCAACAUUUCUCACCAGCACCUAUGCUUUUUUAGUCUGGAUGUCAGCCAAUAUUUGUUCAUCUGGAUUAAGGAGACCUUGGUAAUGUCUUUUAUGAUGCUAUGAACUGAAGGAGUGAGAGGAUAUCAUAUAACUUCUUCCUGCUCCUAACUGCUGUUUGGGGACUUUGAAACUUCCUAGAGUAAACUACUUAGAUCCCUUCCUCCCUGUCAUGAUCAUCUACAAAUGAACUCAAAAUAUAUCCCUUUUGCUGUAAGAAGUUUGGUAGACCAGCUAUUAUAUGGAGCUGGCAAGACAUUUACUUCAUGUAUCCUUUUCAUGUAGGCUGUUCUUACAGGCAGAGCUUUAAAGAAAAAUCCAGAACUGUACAAUGGUAUGUGAGUGUAAUUCACAUAUGUAGUGUGUGUCACUACAACAUACAUAUGUGUGUUUUCCUGUUCUGUGCACGCAUACUUUGCUACCUAGAGUCACAUUCUAUGUCAUUUAGAAGCCUACACAGAGUUGGAGAAAAUUCUUAUAAAUUGGAAUUAGAAUUAUUGCAGAGGAGUGCUAUGUUUAUCAGUGAAGACUGUGGGUAGUAGCAAUAGAGUCUAUGGGAACUAUCUUUGGGUGGAAGAUACUGGACUACUCGCUUUAUUUUUCCCAUUGUUAUCAGUCACUUUUUGCACAAUCACACACACAGAGACACACCACUUUUGCAUGACUUGAAUUUUUGAACUGCAUAAAUGUUCUUUAGAAAUGCACUUUUUAGACCUUCAGAACUGCAUGUUUUGUGUAGGGUUGCACAUUGAAAAAAAGCCCUGCUUAUAGGUUCAUGUGUUUACCUGGUCUAACAACCCUCUUCCCAUUGUAGAAUAAUGUGUGUGUAUUAUCUCCUUCCUCAAACACAUAGUGUAACAUGUGACACAAGGAGCCCAAUUGCUUGAUCAUGCGGAUCAGACUUCCAUGGAUAUAGUCUUUGUGUGGAAUACUCAUGCCACGCUGUUAUGUGCAUGUGUAAAGGAAUUACUCCUUCCCAUUAUGUUUUGUGGCUUGUUUUUCUUUAGUUGUUCUGUGUUGCCUCCAGAGGUGUACCUAGGUAAUUUUGGAGCCGGACCUAAAGGCCUUUGGAGGCCCCCCUCACUGCAAGUUAAGCAUCAUUUUUUAACAUGCAGGUUCUUGAGGGCACAAACCACACCAACCAGGACAGACUAAAGAUGAUUUAGGGGCCCCCCAGAGAGUGUGGAGACCCUGGACUUUGGCCCCGAAGUCCAGAGGUAAGAGCGCCUCUGGUUCCCUCUAGGCUCUGCAGGGGUUAAAAGGUAGUAGCCUCUGACAGCCGAGUCUGAGGUAAAAGUUAUCUGUGGCAGAGUUUUGGAGGGAAAAUUACAGAGUGUUUUUUGGCUGUCACCAGGCAGAGACAGAAGGUUCUAGCUACCUGAGGGAAGAAGCUCCUUGAUUGGUUAAUGUAUCCCUUUGGGACUGGAUAAAAGGGAAGCAUGAACAACCAGGAAGAGGAGGGCUGUGAGGAAAUAGGUGCUGCUGAGUGUUGUGUGAGUUGGAAGGCUGGAACAUCAGCAAGGCAGAACCUGCUAGGGAAGGUUGGAUGGAAGCAACUACGAAAACUGGGCUUUGAAGAUGGAGGGAGUUUUCAUGACAAAAGGGAUUAUAGAAGUCCUCAUGGAACAAUGUACAGAUCAAGAUGCAGCUGCCCAAGCCUCGUGGGUAAAUUUAAACCAGCAAGCUUUUGGACUUCUGAUUUUGAAUAUGGCAGGUUGGAGCUCACAUGAAUUGAAUGCUUUCAGUCCAGUGAACCUGCACCUACAAGCUGAGGUGGUAAAGCCUAGACACACAGCGCUACCUCCCCAGUCAAAUUUA